UGCAAAGGAAGUCUAAACCGGAGGUGGGGUUGCUCCGGCAAGACCCUCCGACGCUCAAGUCAGUUCUCUGCCUCAACAAGAAUGGAGUGCUCGAAUGGAGAAUUUAGCAGAGUUUUGAGAUAAGAAAUGAGCUUAGAGAAUAACGUAUCUGGGUCCCCCUUUUAUAGGCGGAGGAGGCAACGGAUUGAUGGCGACAUUUGUAACCGUCUGGUAGUGGGCCGCCCAUGGUCAGGAGAAUUUAUUGCGAAG
This 249-nucleotide long non-coding RNA is filed under the name Elaeis guineensis (African oil palm). Its description in RNAcentral is "long non-coding RNA (EGUI_LNC063510)". The record is from RNAcentral. Lineage: Eukaryota; Viridiplantae; Streptophyta; Magnoliopsida; Arecales; Arecaceae.